AUGAAGUAUGGAAGGGUGGAUGUUGUUGGGCCGGAGCAAUGCCCUGAGGAGGGGAGGCUUCCUGAUGCUGGUCCUCCAUCACCUGCUGCACAUCUACGAGAAGUUUUCUACAGAAUGGGGUUGAAUGACAAGGAAAUAGUUGCAUUAUCUGGGGCACACACGCUAGGGAGAGCUAGGCCAGAACGCAGUGGUUGGGGCAAGCCAGAGACCAAAUAUACG
RNAcentral lists this unclassified non-coding RNA (219 nucleotides) under Hevea brasiliensis (rubber tree). The record is from RNAcentral. Lineage: Eukaryota; Viridiplantae; Streptophyta; Magnoliopsida; Malpighiales; Euphorbiaceae.